CGCACGGGUGAGUAACACGUAUCCAACCUGCCGUCUACUCUUGGACAGCCUUCUGAAAGGAAGAUUAAUACAAGAUGGCAUCAUGAGUCCGCAUGUUCACAUGAUUAAAGGUAUUCCGGUAGACGAUGGGGAUGCGUUCCAUUAGAUAGUAGGCGGGGUAACGGCCCACCUAGUCUUCGAUGGAUAGGGGUUCUGAGAGGAAGGUUCCCCACAUUGGAACUGAGACACGGUCCAA
This 235-nucleotide ribosomal RNA is filed under the name uncultured bacterium. RNAcentral's name for it is "partial 16S ribosomal RNA". It matches the Rfam family "Bacterial small subunit ribosomal RNA", at positions 99 to 334 of the family's 1533-position model. The record is from RNAcentral.